UUGACAUCCAGAGAAUUUAGCAGAGAUGCUUUAGUGCCUUCGGGAACUCUGAGACAGGUGCUGCAUGGCUGUCGUCAGCUCGUGUUGUGAAAUGUUGGGUUAAGUCCGCAACGAGCGCAACCCUUAUCCUUUGUUGCCAGCACGUAAUGGUGGGAACUCAAAGGAGACUGCCGGUGAUAAACCGGAGGAAGGUGGGGAUGACGUCAAGUCAUCAUGGCCCUUACGAGUAGGGCUACACACGUGCUACAAUGGCGCAUACAAAGAGAAGCGACCUCGCGAGAGCAAGCGGACCUCAUAAAGUGCGUCGUAGUCCGGAUUGGAGUCUGCAACUCGACUCCAUGAAGUCGGAAUCGCUAGUAAUCGUAAAUCAGAAUGUUACGGUGAAUACGUUCCCGGGCCUUGUACACACCGCCCGUCACACCAUGGGAGUGGGUUGCAAAAGAAGUAGAUAGCUUAACCUUCGGGAGGGCGUUUACCACUUUGUGAUUCACGACUGGGGUGAAGUCGUAACAAGGUAGGCGUAGUGCU
RNAcentral lists this ribosomal RNA (528 nucleotides) under uncultured bacterium. RNAcentral's name for it is "bacterial SSU rRNA". It matches the Rfam family "Bacterial small subunit ribosomal RNA", at positions 981 to 1509 of the family's 1533-position model. The record is from RNAcentral.